UGGGGAAUUUUGCACAAUGGGGGAAACCCUGAUGCAGCGACGCCGCGUGAUUUAGAAGGCCUUCGGGUUGUAAAAAUCUUUUUUACGGGAUGAAAAUGACAGUACCGUAAGAAUAAGGUCCGGCUAAAUACGUGCCAGCAGCCGCGGUAAUACGUAUGGACCGAGCGUUGUCCGGAAUCAUUGGGCGUAAAGGGUACGUAGGCGGCAUAGUAAGUUAGAAGUGAAAUAAUAUAGCUCAACUAUAUAAAGCUUUUAAAACUGCUAGGCUUGAGAGAUGGAAGGGAAAGUGGAAUUCCUAGUGUAGCGGUGAAAUGCGCAGAUAUUAGGAAGAAUACCGGUGGCGAAGGCGACUUUCUGGUCAUCAUCUGACGCUGAGGUACGAAAGCGUGGGUAGCAAACAGG
RNAcentral lists this ribosomal RNA (402 nucleotides) under bacterium. RNAcentral's name for it is "partial 16S ribosomal RNA". It matches the Rfam family "Bacterial small subunit ribosomal RNA", at positions 355 to 776 of the family's 1533-position model. The record is from RNAcentral.